This 323-nucleotide ribosomal RNA is filed under the name uncultured eukaryote. RNAcentral's name for it is "partial 18S ribosomal RNA". It matches the Rfam family "Eukaryotic small subunit ribosomal RNA", at positions 1470 to 1796 of the family's 1831-position model. The record is from RNAcentral.
CCCUUAGAUGUUCUGGGCCGCACGCGCGCUACACUGAUACAUGCAACGAGUUUAUAACCUUGAUCUGACGGUCUGGGUAAUCUUCAAACUGUAUCGUGUUAGGGAUCGAUUCUUGCAAUUUUUAAUCGUAAACGAGGAAUUCCUAGUAAACGCAAGUCAUCAGCUUGCAUUGAUUACGUCCCUGCCCUUUGUACACACCGCCCGUCGACUCUACCGAUUGAGUGGUUCGGUGAAAACUUUGGACUGUGGCAUUGUCCUUCAUUGGACUUCGCCGUAGGAAAUUGUUUAAACCUCAUCAUUUAGAGGAAGAAUAAGUCGUAACA